RNAcentral lists this long non-coding RNA (4471 nucleotides) under Equus caballus (horse). RNAcentral describes it as "lncRNA (ENSECAG00000052014.1)". Lineage: Eukaryota; Metazoa; Chordata; Mammalia; Perissodactyla; Equidae. The record is from RNAcentral.
GGUAAAAAGAUAUUGCAGAAAUCCUGGAGGAGAUGCCAAUGACCAGACUUGAGAGAAAUCCUGGGUGGGGCACCUCGACUCUUCAGUUCUAACAUCAGCCACUUUUCUAGGAAACUGACUUUACGGUCUAGGUGCUGCUGUUUAUCUUUUUUAAAAAGCGUAAGAAGGUAGGAAUUUCACCAGGCAUUUAGUGAUGGACUCAACUCUGUUUGCCGAGUAACUUCCCUUAGCAAACUUCAAUGCCACCGCAACACCUUGGCCACGCCCUCCACGCCCGUGGGGAUGAGGAAGGAACCCCAAGUGGGGGGCUGGUCCUGAGGCAUUGUCAACCUCCUUCUGAUUCUGAGGAUGGAAUUCUGGGACUCCCACACCCCCAGAGUCAAGAGCAGCUGUCAGGAGGGCCCUACAUAGAAUGUCUGACCUGGCAGCCAUUUGGGGGUAGGGCCAGUGAAGCCAAAGACCUAUGAGGACUUCCUUCAGCCCUGGGAUAAAGGCGAAGCUCCUUCUGUGAUACUCAAGGUCUUUCAGUGUCAUCCCCAAAUUGUCCUUCCAUAUGCCCCCUCUACCUGGCUGACUCCUGCUCCUCCGAGCUCCCCUGUCACCAUUGCUAGGAAGCCCUGUCUCAGUCUCUCCAGUUCCCUGUCCUGAGUCAGGCUUCCUGUGGGAUCCCAGCUUCCUCAGCAUCCCGGCCCUAGGUCAUCCUUGCCUGCUUAUGUGCCUGUUGUCCGCACAGAGGAGGACACCGUGUCUAUUUAGUCUCUAUAUCCCAGGGUCUGUACAAAGAAGUGCUCGGUAAAGCUUUGCUGAACUGAGGAGGGUAGACGGAGUGGCCACGGUGGGGACAUCAGUUCCUACCCCUUCGGCUCCUUUCGCGGGCUUCCGCCCCCUCUGCUGAGUCUCCUGUAGGGAAAGGUGCACAUGAAGAGUAGUUAGAGGCAGCCGAAAGGCCGAGAGCUACCACAAGGUAGAUGUGGGCUCCAGUCCUGUUCAGAUGUCAGCUGAUUUAGCGGAGCCGGAGGAUUCCUGUGUGUUGACGGGGGAUCCUAUUCCACCAGAGGAGCAGAGAGGGCGUGAGGAAUAAAUGAAAUAACGUGAGAAAAGCAGCAUCCAGAGGUCAGGUACCCACUUGCUCAUGAAAUUAUAGAAGUGUUAGAACUGCAGAAAGUGCAGAGAACCCAGAUGCCCAGGAGAAAUAGGCACUCAUUCUGUCCAAGGGACUGAGGCAGGGAAAGCUCUCAACUUGAGAGGACUUUUGAACUGGGCUUUGAAGGAUAAAUAGGAGUUGGGCUUUGGAGGAUAAAUAGGAGUUCCCCAUAAAUAGUCAGAGGAAAUUGAGGUGAGAAGACUGGGAGUGACACAGGGAGAGCAUCCCAGCAUCUACAUGGAACUACACUAAGCAGGAUUUGGGUUAAGAAGGAGGAGGGACUUCUCAUCCCAGAGCCUUGGGCAGAAUUCAAGUCCAGGAUUUGCCUAAAGGUAAAAUGAGCUAUGAAGGGUCAAGGGCCCCUUCAUCAUAAGUCAAAGGUCAACUGGCCCAUCCCUCUAUGACUAAGCUACCCAACUACUUUUGUCCCUAAACCUGCUUCCUUUGUGCUGGAAGUGAGUCCUGCCUUGAGUGAGCAGGGGAAGAAGGGCGAGCAGCCCCCACCACCCGCUCUCCAAGAGGCUGACCCCACCCUGCGCAGGGUGUUCAUUUCUCCCCACAGCCUUGACCCAGGGCAGUGAUACCAAAUUGGAAAACAAGCCCCCUUUCCGGCCGGGAGCGACAGAAGGAGGCAGGCCCAUUUUCUAGGUCAGAACUCCUUGCCCUUCCUGGCCUAGGCCAUGUUUUUCGAAACUAGACUUUGUGGAGAGAGGGAGAGAGUGUGGAUGCUUCUGUGUGCACGAAUGAGUGUGUAGGGCUGUGUGGAGAGAGGGACAGGGAGGGAGAGAGAACAGAGCCUCGGCGUGUGUGUUAUUUGUGUGUGUGUGUGUGUAGAAAGGGUGACAGAGAGAGAGAAAACAGAGCCUGGGCGUGUGUGUGUAUGUGUAUGUGUGUGGAGAAAAGGUGACGGAGAGAGCAAGAGAACGGAGCCUGGGCGUGUGUGUGCGUUUGGCUGUGUGACUGCGUGACUCUGUGCAAGAGAGACUGUGUGUGUGUGUGUGUGUGUGUGUGUGUGUGUGUGUCGCUCCAGGAGCAAGCUGUACCUUAAAGCCAUAGACCCCGCCUCGGCCCUGCUCCCCUCCACUUCCACCCCCAGCCAGAACCACCUCCCACCACAUCAGCUGGGAACCAGAGCUGGGCCUGGCCAGGGUGACUCCCGCUUGGCCUGAGGGGACAGAAGCAGCCCCAGCCCUCUCAGGCACCCCCUGCAUGGCUGAGGCUUGAGAGCUCAGAAAUGGGUCCUACUGGAGGAAGGAGAAAGGGGCUUUAUUCCUGAGGAAGGCAGGGCCUCCCAGGGGACUGGGGGCUGGGGAGGGGCGGAGGUAGGCCCAGCUCCCGGGCAAGACUGCGGGGUGAGGGCCCAGCUCCUCACUUACUAGGGGUGGGAGUCGGUGGAGGGAGGCCACAACCUCCUCACCUCCUUGCAGGGCAGCCACAGAGCUGUGCCGCAGUCACGAUGGAGACCAUGAGGUAUGGUGCUGGCAGGACAACCAGGAGGGUCUCUGUGACAGACAGGAAGCUCCCGCCUCAGGUCUGCGCUCUCAGGCAGCCUUCCUGCCAUCUUGGCAGCUGGAGCUUGCAGACACAGAGCGGGGGUGUUUGUUUUCCUCCCACAGCAGCCUGCCCCUCCCCCCGCUCUCACACCCGGUUUUGGCUCCCAGGCUGGAGGUGCUGGGCGGAGCCCUGAGAGGCUAAGACCUGGUUUCUCGGCCUCUGACUGGCUGUGUGGUCCUGGACAGGUCCCUCACCUUCUCUGGGCUGCCCCUGCCUGCUCUGCAUAUUCGAGAAGUUGGGUUCCGAGACUUUGCUGGCUCUUCCACCUUUCACAUUUCCAGGUUCUGGGUCCCAUGAUGGGCAUCAUUUGAUGAGAAGAUGCCGCGAUCCAGGAAGAGGAUGAGAAAUUACCAGCCCUGAACCCUCCCGGCCCGAACCCAGAGCCAGAAAAAGUAGUAUGCGCUGAAGUGUCCAUAGAAAGCUCCUGGUCCAACUCCUCCAUUUCACAGUUGGGGAAACUGAGGCUGGAAGGGGGAGGAUGGAGGUGGUGAUUUGCCCGAUAUGCCCGAGGAGUGAGAGCCCAAGCCAGGACUGGAGCCCGGUCCCCUGGCCCCAGCCUCCAGCUACCAGGCAGAGCCCGGGUCGCCUAGGGAGCAGCGGGCGCCAGGAGGCCGGGAGGAGGCGGAGGAGCGGGGGCGCGCCCGGCCGCCCCGGCCCCGCGGGCCCCUUCCGGCCCCUCCCCCAGCCUGCGCACCGUCCCGCCACCUGCUCCCCGGUCCGCUGGGGCGGGGCCGCCGCCCCCCGUCUCCAUGGCAACGCGCGGCCCGGCCGGCCGCCCUGGCCUCGCUGCCGCCGCGCAGCCCAUCUGGCCCCAAGCCCGCCCCAGCUGGACCGCCCGAGGCCCCGUCGGCCGGGGGCCCCCACAGCCCCGCGGCGCCCGAGAGCAAGGCAGGAGCGCCGGGCGUCGGGCACCAGCGAUGCCAGCACCUGGGCUGGCUGCGAGGCUCAUCCCGAUGGAUCAGAAGCUGUGCUGCCCUCCCGGAUCCCCGAGUCUAGAGAGUAUCCUCCCCCCCCCCACACCCCCCCCCACCCAGCACAUUCGCUCAGGGCGGCAGGAGGAGCUCUCAGGAUUGGAGGCGAGCUCUCUGGAGCCAGCCACCCUGGAGGCGAAUCCCCAAGGAGGGUGACCCUGGGCAAUUUACUUAAGCUUUUACCCGUCUGAAAAAUGGAGGCGAGCACAGAACCUGGCUCUCUGGGUGGUUGUGAGGGUUAAAUGGGUCAAUAAAGAAAAAUACAUGGAGUGAGCACGCAAUAAGUAUCAGCUAUUAUUAUUACUGCAGGUGGCAAGUGCUGCAGAGAGGGCCAUGGAAGCCCGGAGUAAGGGUCCUAACCCAGCAUGGGGGCAGCAGGGGCCGCUUCCUGGAGGAGGCCGUGCUGGUUGGUGUCGGCGCAAAUAACAGUUAGCCAGGAAGCAGAAGAGAAGAGGGAGCAGCAGCAGCAAAGACGUAGAGAUGAAAAAUAGCGUGGGGGAGGGGGGGAAGACUUACAAAGCCCCUCAGUGUUGCUGGAGAGGAUACAAGAGCCUGGCUUUCAGUUGGAGGGCAGUGGCACGGGAGCCACUGAAGGGUUUUCACAGAGCCAAGACAUGUUCCUUGUUUUCCUAGAGAUCACUCUAGCCGCCAUACGUGCAGUGGCUUGGAGGGGCCAGCAUCCUUUUGAGAGAUGAUGAGGCCUAAACAAGGGGAGAUGCAAGAGAAGAAGACUUAGCUUCAGGACUGAAUUCUAAGCUUCAUUUCCCUGGAGCUGAGCAGAAUCUGUCUAAAAAAAGUUAAG